This 78-nucleotide transfer RNA is filed under the name Escherichia phage JLBYU08. Its description in RNAcentral is "tRNA-Thr". It matches the Rfam family "tRNA". Rfam says of the family: Transfer RNA (tRNA) molecules are approximately 80 nucleotides in length. Their secondary structure includes four short double-helical elements and three loops (D, anti-codon, and T loops). Lineage: Duplodnaviria; Heunggongvirae; Uroviricota; Caudoviricetes. The record is from RNAcentral.
UGCUGAUGUAGCACAAUCGGUAGUGCAAUUGAUUUGUAAUCAAUAGGUUGUAGGUUCAAGUCCUGCCAUCAGCACCAA